RNAcentral lists this small nuclear RNA (104 nucleotides) under Pan troglodytes (chimpanzee). The record is from RNAcentral. Lineage: Eukaryota; Metazoa; Chordata; Mammalia; Primates; Hominidae.
GUGCACGCUUGGUAGCACGUAUACUAAAAUUGGAAAGCAUACGAGAGAAGAUUAGCAUGCCCCUGCACAAGAUACGUGCAAAUUGUGUUGCGUUCCUAUUCGCU